This 261-nucleotide ribosomal RNA is filed under the name uncultured bacterium. RNAcentral's name for it is "partial small subunit ribosomal RNA". It matches the Rfam family "Bacterial small subunit ribosomal RNA", at positions 26 to 287 of the family's 1533-position model. The record is from RNAcentral.
AGAGUGAACGCUGGCGGCAGGCCUAACACAUGCAAGUCGAGCGGCAGCGCGGGUAGCAAUACCUGGCGGCGAGCGGCGGACGGGUGAGGAAUACAUCGGAAUCUGCCUUGUUGUGGGGGAUAACGUAGGGAAACUUACGCUAAUACCGCAUAAGACCGUAAGGUGAAAGCGGGGGAUCGAAAGACCUCGCGCGACAAGAUGAGCCGAUGUCGGAUUAGCUAGUUGGUGAGGUAAUGGCUCACCAAGGCGACGAUCCGUAGC